Molecule: transfer RNA, 64 nt
Filed under: Acmaeodera sp. NCS-2009
Lineage: Eukaryota; Metazoa; Arthropoda; Insecta; Coleoptera; Buprestidae
Description: tRNA-Phe
Source: RNAcentral
ACUUGAAUAGCUUAUUUAGAGUUUAAUAUUGAAGAUGUUAAGGAAGUAAUUUUACUUUCAAGUA